This 293-nucleotide ribosomal RNA is filed under the name uncultured bacterium. RNAcentral describes it as "partial 16S ribosomal RNA". It matches the Rfam family "Bacterial small subunit ribosomal RNA", at positions 775 to 1067 of the family's 1533-position model. The record is from RNAcentral.
GGAUUAGAUACCCUGGUAGUCCACGCCGUAAACGAUGGGUGCUAGGCGUCGGCUCUUUAAGAGUCGGUGCCGCAGCUAACGCAUUAAGCACCCCGCCUGGGGAGUACGGUCGCAAGAUUAAAACUCAAAGGAAUUGACGGGGACCCGCACAAGCGGUGGAGCAUGUGGUUUAAUUCGAUGCAACGCGAAGAACCUUACCACCCUUUGACAUCCUGAUCGCCGGGCUUGUAAUGAGCCCUUCAGUUCGGCUGGAUCAGUGACAGGUGUUGCAUGGCUGUCGUCAGCUCGUGUCG